This 469-nucleotide ribosomal RNA is filed under the name uncultured bacterium. Its description in RNAcentral is "bacterial SSU rRNA". It matches the Rfam family "Bacterial small subunit ribosomal RNA", at positions 335 to 800 of the family's 1533-position model. The record is from RNAcentral.
ACUCCUACGGGAGGCAGCAGUGAGGAAUAUUGGUCAAUGGGCGCAAGCCUGAACCAGCCAUGCCGCGUGCAGGAUGACGGUCCUAUGGAUUGUAAACUGCUUUUGUACGGGAAGAAACACUCCUUCGUGAAGGAGCUUGACGGUACCGUAAGAAUAAGGAUCGGCUAACUCCGUGCCAGCAGCCGCGGUAAUACGGAGGAUCCAAGCGUUAAUCGGAAUUACUGGGCGUAAAGCGCAUGCAGGUGGUUUGUUAAGUCAGAUGUGAAAGCCCGGGGCUCAACCUCGGAAUUGCAUUUGAAACUGGCAGACUAGAGUACUGUAGAGGGGGGUAGAAUUUCAGGUGUAGCGGUGAAAUGCGUAGAGAUCUGAAGGAAUACCGGUGGCGAAGGCGGCCCCCUGGACAGAUACUGACACUCAGAUGCGAAAGCGUGGGGAGCAAACAGGAUUAGAUACCCUGGUAGGAUAGCGU